UACGUAGGGGGCAAGCGUUGUCCGGAAUUAUUGGGCGUAAAGAGCUCGUAGGCGGUUUGUCGCGUCGGAUGUGAAAGCCCGGGGCUUAACCCCGGGUCUGCAUUCGAUACGGGCAGACUAGAGUGUGGUAGGGGAGAUCGGAAUUCCUGGUGUAGCGGUGAAAUGCGCAGAUAUCAGGAGGAACACCGGUGGCGAAGGCGGAUCUCUGGGCCGUAACUGACGCUGAGGAGCGAAAGCGUGGGGAGCGAACAGG
RNAcentral lists this ribosomal RNA (253 nucleotides) under uncultured bacterium. RNAcentral's name for it is "partial 16S ribosomal RNA". It matches the Rfam family "Bacterial small subunit ribosomal RNA", at positions 524 to 776 of the family's 1533-position model. The record is from RNAcentral.